GGAAAGGUGCAGGAGUGGCUUAACUGGCACGCCUGGAAAGCGUGUGUACCUGCAAGGGUACCGAGGGUUCGAAUCCCUCCCUUUCCG
This 87-nucleotide transfer RNA is filed under the name Ignavibacteria bacterium. RNAcentral describes it as "tRNA-Ser". It matches the Rfam family "tRNA". From Rfam's summary of the family: Transfer RNA (tRNA) molecules are approximately 80 nucleotides in length. Their secondary structure includes four short double-helical elements and three loops (D, anti-codon, and T loops). The record is from RNAcentral. Lineage: Bacteria; Pseudomonadati; Ignavibacteriota; Ignavibacteria.